Molecule: ribosomal RNA, 487 nt
Filed under: uncultured bacterium
Lineage: Bacteria
Description: SSU rRNA
Rfam family: Bacterial small subunit ribosomal RNA
Source: RNAcentral
AGAGCGAACGCUGGCGGCGUGCUUAACACAUGCAAGUCGAACGCGCAGCAUUCUGUAGCAAUACAGGGUGUGGGCGCGUGGCGAACGGGUGCGUAACACGUGGAUAACCUUCCUUGAGGUGGGGAAUAACCCAGUGAAAAUUGGGCUAAUACCGCAUAACAUCGCGAUGGCACAUGCUGAUGCGAUCAAAGGCGCAAGUCGCCACAAGAGGGAUCCGCGGCCGAUUAGCUUGUUGGCGAGGUAAUGGCUCACCAAGGCAAUGAUCGGUAGCCGGACUGAGAGGUUGGCCGGCCACACUGGAACUGAGACACGGUCCAGACUCCUACGGGAGGCAGCAGUGGGGAAUCUUGCACAAUGGACGAAAGUCUGAUGCAGCAACGCCGCGUGGGGGAUGAAGCUUCUCGGAGUGUAAACCCCUUUCGACCCGGAAGAAUGCCCGCAAGGGUAUGACGGUACGGGUAUAAGAAGCCCGGCUAACUACGUGCCA